Molecule: long non-coding RNA, 346 nt
Organism: Gasterosteus aculeatus aculeatus (three-spined stickleback)
Lineage: Eukaryota; Metazoa; Chordata; Actinopteri; Perciformes; Gasterosteidae
Source: Ensembl
CAGCACGUCGGUUGCCGUCCCCGAGGGCAGCAACGUGAACUAUCACCUGUCGGAGCGACGACAAACCGCCUGUAAACCUCUACACUUGGUACAGAGUGGACGGCGGCGAGUUGACGAGGACGGGGGAGGGACAGACGCUGGUCCUGAAGGUCACUCAGAAGGACAGCGGGGCUCAUCUGUGCGAAGCUCGAACCCAGAAGCUCUCCCAGCGGUCCGGACCUGUGACCCUGGAGGUCAGCGCCGCCACAGGCAGCAGGUUGGCGGCGGCGGCUCCCUAAACCCUGUGUGGAGUGUUGCUGGUCGUCUACAUGGUGACUGUGGUGGUGGAUGUGUAUAAGUACCAGAG